GGAGGUGCUCAAAACUCAGUAAUCAGUCAUAGAGCCCCAUGCCAGAGCAAACUGGCCCUGAACCAUUGCCUGGCCCCCACCUAUAGGCUGCUGGCACCAAAGUGGGUCGUACAGUG
Molecule: small nucleolar RNA, 116 nt
Filed under: Otolemur garnettii (small-eared galago)
Lineage: Eukaryota; Metazoa; Chordata; Mammalia; Primates; Galagidae
Description: Small nucleolar RNA SNORA42/SNORA80 family (ENSOGAG00000020972.1)
Source: RNAcentral